This is a long non-coding RNA of Gymnodraco acuticeps, 405 nucleotides long. RefSeq lists it as uncharacterized. The transcript is spliced from 2 exons. The record is from RefSeq and is a predicted model, not a curated record. NCBI's taxonomy places the organism in Eukaryota, Metazoa, Chordata, Actinopteri, Perciformes, Bathydraconidae.
GCAGCCUAUAUCUGAAACCUUCCUACAAAUUCCACCAGAACUGCAGGCCAAUUUUGACACUUGCAGUGCCUAUCUGGACGACUUUGAGUUGCAUCCUGUUCAAGACACACUCCUAACGAGUCAGACAGACUCACCCCCUAAUCCUCGGGUCGAGGGUGAAUCAUCAGCACAGAAUAUUCGAGAGAUCCAAGCCGGUAUAUCACUCGUCACAGACCCCCUCCUGACGAGAUAUCACCCCGAUCAGUCAAGCUAUUAUCAAGGUGACCAACACUGCUGCUACUGCCAUCUUUAUGGACACACCCACUGAGGGUCUCAUGUAAAAUGAUGCCGAUGUAACCGACCGGUAUGUUUCUUCAGCUGUGACAAAUGUAUUUCUGAUUUUUGUUUCAUAAACGGUCAAACAUG